Molecule: non-coding RNA, 5038 nt
Organism: Vicugna pacos (alpaca)
Lineage: Eukaryota; Metazoa; Chordata; Mammalia; Artiodactyla; Camelidae
Source: RefSeq, a predicted model, not a curated record
UUGAUUCCCAGACAAUACCAUCUCCCUGAACUGGAGCAACCCUCCAGCAGGCUGGGAGGGAGGGAUGAUCGGGGCGGGGGUGGGGGGGGGCUUGGUUCUGGGGUCUGUAGGGUGUGAAUCCUUAGGAAAGGACUGGCUGGACUGCCAGGCUCUCGCGAGGAGAAGCUGAGUCUGAAAUGAAGGAAGACAUCCGGUGUCCCCGCAUCCGGCUCACCGUGAAGCCAGCCGCCUGCUCCUUGCUGGGGCUUCAGAAUGAAAGUUAGAAGGUGAGGACACAGUGAGAAGGUGGCCAUCUGCAAGCCAGGAAAACAGCUUUCAUAGGACACAGGCCCUGCUGGCACCCUGAUCUUGGACUUCCAGGCUCCAGACUGCGAGAAAUAAGUGGCUGAGGUUUAAACCCUCAGUUUGUGGUAUUUUUGUUGUUGCAGCCCAAGGGGAUGAAGACAGCUGCACUGAGCUGGACCAUCUCCGAAGGUCCCUUCGGAGCAUGUGCACCGAAAGUCUCUGGUGUCCCACAUGGUCUCUAGGCUGACGUCCACUCGUGUCCAGUGCAUGGUUUUUGCAGGCAUAAAAGUGAAACUGGAAUUUGAAAACCACCUGCCAUUGUCAUCUCCACCAUUUCAUCUUUCCUUGUCUGUCCAUAAUGGCUGCUGGAUACGAGGUUCUGAUUUUUGCACAAGGAACAGGCUGAAAACCUUCUGACAUGACUUUGCCCAGCCAUCUCACUGGAUGAGACGCAGCGCAGUAAGCAGCGAGGAGCUUGAAUGCAGUCCUUACUCCUUUCUAGCUGGGGACCUUGGACAACUGAUACAGGCGCUGUGUGCCUUGGUUUCUUUUCUGUAAGAUAGUGAUGGCGAUAAUACCCACGUCCCACCUCGGCAGAGCUCUCGUGAGAAUUACUGAAUUAAUGUGGUCAGGGGCCGAGAAGAGUUCCCCUCUCCUGGAAGGCUGUUAUUCUUGGCUAAUAAAUGCUCCCUGAAUGGCAGCCUCUUUUUUCAGCUGGCAGAUUACUUAGAAAAGCCCCCAAAUUGCACACCUGGUUAAGUAAGUCAGGUCCUGCGUGGCGGUGAUGUAACAUACCUAUUUUUGGUGGACUCAGCAAUUCAGGGAGUGACCCAUCUCCCUGCACUGCACCGAGGUCAUUGCAAUGGAUUUCAUCAACCAGCAGGUUUGGGAAUGCACCACAAGGUUCAAGUUUUUCUGCCAUCCUGCCACUCUGGACCGCUUUCACCUCAGGCAGCUCAGGUCGGGGCUGGGAGGCGGGGCAGGGCGCUUCCAUGAUGACAUCCAUGUUCACAAUGAUGGCAUCUGAGACAGGAGGAGGGGCAGAGGACACAGUCCCUGCUUGACUCUCCAGGGAUGUUUGCCACAUCACCAGAGGAGUGGGAGGAUUUUUGUUUGUCUGUUCAGCUUUGGGUCUGGAAAAGGGAGGCUUGUGUUUCCAGGUGUGUUUAGGACCUUUUGAAGGUUGAAUGACAGCUCCCUGGGGGAACACGUGUUGUGAAGCUCCUGCUGUAGGGAGGACCACAGCGCCCAGCGGAGGGCGAGAUGGUUCCUGAGCAUCUUGUUGGGCACCUUUGUCUGGGAGAAUUUCUUAGAAAGCCUGAACUUGCACCCCAGGGAGACAUCGUCGUGGCUUUUUGCACCACUAAUCCAGGUGGAGUGAAGGGCACUGGGUGAGGGCAACUCUAGCAAGAACAGAGAAUCUGGAGGUUCAAACUCUCUUUGGAAUGAGGCUGAGUGUUAAUAAAAGUGUAUAGACACACAACUAGCUUGUUCACUAACUGACCCACUGUAAAUCGAGUUGCCGGCGAUGGUAGUUGGGUCAAAUCACAUGAGGUGGAUGCAAAGAGCGGAGCUUUGGGCCCGACAGGCCUGAACUAAAACCCUGCUUCACUACUAUUGGCUGUGUAGUCUUGGUCAAGCCACUCAACCUCUCUGAGCCCCAGUGUAUGUGUCUGCACCAUGGAGGACAAUGCCUACCUUGCAGGGCUGUCAGAGAAAUAGACAGCAGGCAGCCCCAGACCUCCUGAACCGCCUGGUGCAGAUCCAGGCCCUGCUGGCCCCACGUGGCCCUCAGCUCACUGGUUGCUUCUGAUCUUCCAGGUUCAGCUUAAAGGUCACCUCCUCAGAGAGGUCUUCCCUGAUCACCCAUGGAGAGCACCCUGCCUGCUCCUCCCACUUCCUGUUACUUUCCAUUGCUUCCCCUGGUUUGUUUCCUUCUCAGCUUGAGACACAGUCUGCAAUUUUCUUGUUUGUUUGUGUUUGCUGAUUGUUCUUUUUUGCUUAUUGAUCACUGGCUGUCUCUGGCCAUGUGACUGAGGUCACCGAAGGCAGGGGCUUGAUCUGUGUGUGUUGGGACUGCUUUGAUCAGUGCCCGGCUCAGAGCAGAUGGCUGGGGUCUUUGACCAAAGAUCCUUGUAUCCAGGGCGAGCUUCUGAGACUUGUUAGACCUUGUUUUGUUCUGCAUCCGUGAUACCGGGAGCCACUUCAAAGGGUUGUGAGGUAAUAAGGAUGCACGGAGAUACAGUGUGGGUUUCACUGAGGACAGGAAGUGAGUGACACAGAGCAGAAAUCAGUAGUAUGAGAUGAUAUCAUGAGAUGGCGUGCAGAGUAAUCAGUGCCCCCAAACAACAAACAUUUUUAUUCUUUUCCCCUUUGCUCUUUUCUUCUGAGUUUGUACCUCUUACUUGCAGAUACAAGUCAUACAGAACACAAACUUUGGGAUAAUAGAUGUAACUCUGAGAAAUGAGAAAAGAGAAAAUUUUGAUUUCUCAACUUACAAAACCUGUGAUUUCAUUUAUAAUGUCAGAGGAAGGGUCCAGUGGGUGAAUUCACCCAUUAACGUGGAAACUGACCGAAGGAGUCAGUCUAGACGGGGAAGUAGCACCUUUGGAUUUACUGGUAUAUUCCAUCAGAAAAACAACACAACCCUUGUCCUCUGUAAGUUUAUAUAAGGACAUUUCUUCAUGAAAUCAUCUCCCUUAAAGAGAAUUGAUCUCCUCAUCAGAAAGAACUAUGGAACAGAGUGGAUUUCUCUUUUUACCUUGAGUGGCAGGAAGCUCAAGGUUAAUUUCAACACGCAAUCAUGAUAUUAACUCUCAGUUGAUACUUCUACUUAUUUCGGUGUUUUGAAAAGAAGCAGGACUUAAGUAAAUAAAUGCAUUUUGUAAGUGUGAUUUGCUUACUAAAACCCUGUGUCUGAGUUUUCUGGGAUGGACAAACUGCACUGACACUUCCUAAUUUUUGCCACGGCAUUUGUUGAAACGUCUCUGUGACCUGAGCUUGGCUCUCUUCCCUUGUUCUGGUCCGUAAUUUCCUCAGCUGUUAAAAGAGGCGUCUAGACUGAGAAGGCUUGUUCUGGGCACUUAUAGAUUGAAAACGCUUUCAUUCUUUCUAUGUUCUAAUGAGCAGUGAAGCCCUCUCUUCUCUGUUCCGCUGUGUCUCAAUGCUGUGAAGCAGGGAUUCUUUUCAAACUUUCUUUUUAAAGCUACAUUGUCUUUUGUCCAAAAUAAAACUGAUGGGGAGUCCAAGUACACGCAACACAUCACAGCAGAGCUCUUGCGGUUGAAGUGAGGGGUGGGGUUAUGGGCCAAGAAUUCCACCUCCCUCCCCUCCCUCUUACAGACCCCAGGGCACCUCAGAGGCAUCCCCAGACUUCCAGGGAGCACCGUCUGAAACCACAGUAUUACAGGAUUGCUGGACACAAGCAGAAUGGAAUUCGCUUUCUAAAAUCUACCUGGUUUAAACCACACCUGGAUUGUAAGCUUCUCGAGGGCCAGCAGGAUCUGGCACCUGUUGAAAACACAGGUGUGUGUUACUCAGUGAAUGAAUGAGUCCAGCAGUCUGUUCUCGGUUCAGAUAUCCUGCGAGGCUUUGCAGGUCCUGGAAGCAUCUCUCUGCAGCCCUUCAGCAUCUUGUAAGACCACAGAGUCCCCGACGGCUCGGGGAAUAUAGAGCGUGUGCUUUUAUGGCCUUUGUAUCAGAAUGAUUUGUGACUUCUCAGGUGGAACAACCAGUGACAUAAUUAACAUUUCAAAACUCUGCAACCACAAAUUUACUUUCUUUUGAAUAUUUGGGGCCAUUUAAACAGUAGCUUCGGUAUUAAAUUUGUACUUUAUGGGAUCUGGGGAGGAGGGACAUGGGGUAGGGGGGAGCAGGAGGGAAGAAUUUCCCAAACCUGUAUGAAAAAGGAUGGAAAACAUUGGUGAGUUUUUUGCUUAAAAAAAACCCAAAACUGUUUUUUUCUCUUCAAUUGAAAUACUGCUUUAAAGCAUUGGCAGGCUUACAGAAGUGAAAUGAAAAACAAAUCCCACAAAAAUCCUGGAGUACCAUAAAAAUAAUGAAUAAAGUAGUGCAAAAUGCUUUGAUUUUAGUAAUGUUUUUCAGUAAAGCUGGUACAUUCCAAACAGAUUGUAUUUAUCUCAAAGGAGGCCCUCUGCACUGUGGCUUAAAGGUUUAUAACAAAUUUCGUGGUCUUGCUUGGGAUAUGAUAAUAAGGACUCACAUAGUAAAACAAAAAAACAAAAAACAAAAAAACAUAGCUUUGAAAGUGGGCUGACCGGGUUCAAAUCCCUCUUCCCCUUUAUGUUACCUGGGCCUCUUUCAGUAAAUGGCCAUCCUGUCUCGGUUGAGUUUCCUUACGUGAAAAAAUCCGAAGAACAAUGCCUGUCUCAAUGGGAAGUUACAUGUGGGAAUGGGAAUAAAAGUAAAAGCUGCUGGCGGGGUUUGUGGGCACUGGGACUGAGUUUGUCUGGGUAAAGAUGGUGAUUCUGUAUUUGUGUCCAGAGCGCUGCACGUUGUCUAUAGUAUCACACAAAGCUCCGAUUCCAAAGGUGCAAGAAACUAUAGCUGUGUCCUUGUUUUGUUUUUAGUUUCCAUGGCUUUUUUUCUGGUUAUAAAAUUAGUAUAUAUUUACCGGAGAAAGCUUGAAAAUUAAAGAUGGAUGUUAAGGAGGAAAAGAAAUCACCCACAAUGCAGUUUGGUGCAGCCAUUGUGGAAAACAGUAUGGAGAUUCCUCAAAAGACUAGGAAUAGAC